This 499-nucleotide ribosomal RNA is filed under the name uncultured bacterium. Its description in RNAcentral is "partial 16S ribosomal RNA". It matches the Rfam family "Bacterial small subunit ribosomal RNA", at positions 28 to 507 of the family's 1533-position model. The record is from RNAcentral.
GACGAACGCUGGCGGCGUGCCUAAUACAUGCAAGUCGAGCGGACUGAAUGGGAGCUUGCUCUUGUUCGGUCAGCGGCGGACGGGUGAGUAACACGUGGUCAACCUUCCCGCAAGACCGGGAUAACUCCGGGAAACCGGAGCUAAUACCGGAUAACACCGAAGACCGCAUGGUCUUUGGUUGAAAGGCGGCGCAAGCUGCCACUUGCGGAUGCGCCCGCGGCGCAUUAGCGAGUUGGUGAGGUAACGGCUCACCAAGGCGACGAUGCGUAGCCGGCCUGAGAAGGGGGACGGGCACAACGGGAAUGGGACAACGCCCAGAAUCCUACGGGGGGCAGCAGUAGGGAAUCUUCCGCAAUGGGCGGAAGCCUGACGGAGCGACGCCGGGGGGGCGGAGAAGGCCUUCGGGUCGUAAAGCUCUGUUGUGAGGGAAGAAGGAGCGACGUUUGAAGAAGGCGGCGCGGUGACGGUACCUAACGAGGAAGCCCCGGCUAACUACGUG